Molecule: long non-coding RNA, 2091 nt
Filed under: Capra hircus (goat)
Lineage: Eukaryota; Metazoa; Chordata; Mammalia; Artiodactyla; Bovidae
Description: lncRNA (ENSCHIG00000007933.1)
Source: RNAcentral
AAACUUUAUGCUCUUUCUUGUCAUGCCCCUGUUUCCCUCAAGAUCAAAGAGUAUCGAGCAAAGAGGGGAUUGAAGCAGAUCACCACCCUGUGGGACCUUCCCAGCUCUGUUCCUGGAUGCCGAGCAAAACACAGGCACCCCAGCCUGCUACACACUUCUCAUCUUUUUCGGUGGAUGAUAGGUCGCCCGUGCAUCCAGGCUGGGCCUUGCGGGCUGCCCGGUUGGAGGUGAGAAGAGCACAGAGAGGAGUUUGCAGAAGGCUAACGGGGCGUGAUAGGAUGACGUCAAAGAAGGCACCAGAUGAUCCCAGCUUCCCAGGGUUCACAUCCUGUGUAAUCCUCUCUCCUUGGGUGGGGCUGGAUCUAGUGACUUGCUUCUAAUCAAUGGAAUGCAGCAAAAUUGGCUGGAUGUCACUUCUGUGAUAAGGUUAUAAAAACGGCACCCUCCCUCUUGUUAGCAAAUUCUCUCUUGUUGUUGUCAGGGAAACAAGGUGCCAUGUUGCAGAGGUCCGUAAGGCAGAGAACUGAGGGUAGCCUCCAUCUAACAGCCAACAAGGAAUGAGGCCCUCAGUUCAACAACCUUCCAAAAACUGAAUCUUGCCAGCAGCCAUGUGUAUGAAGUUGGCAGAUUCUUUCCCAGUUGAAACUCUUACAAGAGGGAGCCAUGUCAGGAAUGACCUUUGUCACCAUCUUGAUGUCGUCAGUCUUGUGAGAAACCUUGAGCCAACACUGUGGUUGCCAGCCUGUGAGACGCCUAAAGCAGAGGACCUAGCUAAGAUGUAUCAGGAUUUCCAAUUUAUAGAAACAUAAUAAAUGUGUGACGUUCAGCCUGCUAAGUCUUGGCAUACACAGUUGAUUUUCAUUAUUUAAGAAUUCCAAUAAUUGCAAAUUCUCCUAUUCACUAAAAUUUAUUUUAACCCCAAAUCUAUGUUCAUCUUGUUUUCAUGAUCAUUUACAGACACAUACAGAAAGGUGAAAGUUGACUUAUCUGAUGCACAUGUUCCCAGAUGAGGUUGAACAAAGCAAAGCUCACCUUUCUGGUUCCAGUUCUCACACUGUACACACACAGUAUAUUUUCAUGGUCUAUUUAGUGUAAUGUUUUUGAAUUUUGUGAUUUUUCUUGCUAGUUUUACUGUUUAGUCUCCAAGCAUAGAGCUGAAGUGCUGUCUAAUGUUCCUAAGUGCAAGGAAAUGUGCCUUACAGAGAAAAUUCAUGUAAUAGAUGAUCUUCAUUCAGGCUUGAGUUAUAUUCAGGAUUUGGCUGUGAAUUCAAUGAGGCGGUGAGUUCAAUGUUACUGUGACUCAACAAGAUAUCAUUAAAGAAAGUGUAUGUAAACAGAAGCACAUAUAAAAUAAGAUUAGUUAUUGAUCAGUUGAUGAAAAUGUGACUAGAGGCUCACAGGAACCUAACCCUGUUUUCCUGUAGGACCGGUGGUUCAGUAUGCACUGAUUUAAUGUUCUCAUUGCCUUAAUAGAUGUAACUUCCUCAAAUAAUGAGAAUUCACUGUAAUUUGUUAAGUACCAAUAGAUAACAAAUAUGGUGAGAGAAAGGACAAUUCAAUUUGCCAAUCUAUGGGAGAAGAGUUUCACAAGGAGGGCAUGAUUAAGCAUCGAGGGCGUAGGUGUCUCAAUGAGGGUAAGACAAGAUUUGCUGCUGCUGCUGCUAAGUCGCUUCAGUCGUGUCUGACGCUGUGCGACCCCAGAGACAGCAGCCCACCAGGCUCCCCCAUCCCUGGGAUUCUCCAGGCAAGAACACUGGAGUGGGUUGCCAUUUCCUUCUCCAAUGCAUGAAAGUGAAAAGUGAAAGUGAAGUCGCUCAGUCGUGUCUGACUCUUCGUGACCCCAUGGACUGCAGCCUACCAGGCUUCUCCGUCCAUGGGAUUUACCAGGCAAGAAUACUGGAGUGGGGUGCCAUUGCCUUCUCCGAGACAAGAGUUAGUGGAUGGCAAUUAUUGGUGUCUGUCAUCUGAGUAUCACUAAAAUGGCUAUUGAAAAUAAAUAAUUUUGCUUGACUAAAGAGAAUUGUUUUGAAUGGAUGUGAAUGAAGUUUAGGAAAAUUAGCUUCACAGAGCAAUCUCCUUGCUUUAUAAAGC